CCUACGGGAGGCAGCAGUGGGGAAUAUUGGGCAAUGGGCGCAAGCCUGACCCAGCAACGCCGCGUGAAGGAAGAAGGCUUUCGGGUUGUAAACUUCUUUUCUCAGGGACGAAGCAAGUGACGGUACCUGAGGAAUAAGCCACGGCUAACUACGUGCCAGCCGCAGCGGUAAUACGAAGGUGGUAAGCGUUAUCCGGAUUUACUGGGAGUAAGGGGCGGGUAGGCGGGGACGCAAGUCAGAUGUGGAAACCACGGGCUCAACCUGUGGCCUGCAUUUGAAACUGUGUUUCUUGAGGACUGGAGAGGCAGACGGAAUUCCUAGUGUAGCGGUGAAAUGCGUAGAUAUUAGGAGGAACACCAGUGGCGAAGGCGGUCUGCUGGACAGCAACUGACGCUGAGGCGCGAAAGCGUGGGGAGCAAACAGGAUUAGAUACCCCAGUAGUC
Molecule: ribosomal RNA, 443 nt
Filed under: uncultured bacterium
Lineage: Bacteria
Description: partial 16S ribosomal RNA
Rfam family: Bacterial small subunit ribosomal RNA
Source: RNAcentral